RNAcentral lists this transfer-messenger RNA (362 nucleotides) under Gammaproteobacteria (g-proteobacteria). RNAcentral's name for it is "WLWS01 sp012103475 Standard tmRNA". It matches the Rfam family "transfer-messenger RNA". From Rfam's summary of the family: Bacterial tmRNA, also known as 10Sa RNA or SsrA, is named for its dual tRNA and mRNA-like properties. Its role is to liberate the mRNA from a stalled ribosome. To accomplish this part of the tmRNA is used as a reading frame that ends in a translation stop signal. The record is from RNAcentral. RNAcentral also lists the same sequence under 1 other name. Lineage: Bacteria; Pseudomonadati; Pseudomonadota.
GGGGGCGUACUUGGCUUCGACGUGGGUAGCAAAACCCAAGGGGCAUGCCGAGGUGCAGAAUACCUCGUAAAUCCAUCUGCAACCUUUUAGUUGCCAACGACGACAACUACGCACUCGCAGCUUAAUACCCUGUAAGGGUGCCGUCUGCCCGGUAUGUGCUUAUGCGUCCGGUCCCAGGCGUCGACUCACAUAAGAUCGCGAUGAUUCUCGUCCGGCGUUGAUUCGUUAAAACCUUACGGAAUCGUUAAUUGUUGUCCCUGCCGUUCGGGUAGCAGUUAAUUAAACUAAUAGAGUCGGCUAAGCAUGUAGAACCGAAGGCGGAGUACUUGCGGACGCGGGUUCGACUCCCGCCGCCUCCACCA